Molecule: ribosomal RNA, 496 nt
Filed under: uncultured bacterium
Lineage: Bacteria
Description: partial 16S ribosomal RNA
Rfam family: Bacterial small subunit ribosomal RNA
Source: RNAcentral
ACUCAAAUGAAUUGACGGGGGCCCGCACAAGCGGUGGAGCAUGUGGUUUAAUUCGACGCAACGCGAAGAACCUUACCUGGGCUCGAAAUGCAGUGGAAGUCGGCUGAAAGGUCGGUGCCCGCAAGGGCCGCUGUAUAGGUGCUGCAUGGCUGUCGUCAGCUCGUGUCGUGAGAUGUUGGGUUAAGUCCCGCAACGAGCGCAACCCUUAUCUUUAGUUGCCAUGUCGCAAGACGGAACUCUAAAGAGACAGCCGGCCACAAGCCGGAGGAAGGUGGGGAUGACGUCAAGUCCUCAUGGCCUUUAUGUCCAGGGCUACACACGUGCUACAAUGGGCGGUACAAAGCGCAGCAAACCCGCGAGGGGGAGCCAAUCGCAAAAAACCGCUCUCAGUUCGGAUUGCAGUCUGCAACUCGGCUGCAUGAAGCUGGAAUCGCUAGUAAUCGCGGAUCAGCACGCCGCGGUGAAUACGUUCCCGGGCCUUGCACACACCGCCCGU